This is a long non-coding RNA of Pollicipes pollicipes, 477 nucleotides long. RefSeq lists it as uncharacterized. The transcript is spliced from 3 exons. Lineage: Eukaryota; Metazoa; Arthropoda; Thecostraca; Pollicipedomorpha; Pollicipedidae. The record is from RefSeq and is a predicted model, not a curated record.
CCGACCGCUUCGGAUCGGUCGUGGAAGCCCGAGCCGUCAGUGGCCUGCCUGCCGGCGGUCUGCAGCCAAUACGGCACCAGCCUGGGCUGUGGGGAUGACAGGUGCCAGAAGCUGCACUUGUGCGUCCUCCUCCUGGCGGACAUCUGCAAGUUCGGCGACGCCUGUCGCAGAGGCCACUCGCUGACCACAGUGCACAACCAGAUGGUGUGCAACAAGUUUGGACUUGAGACCACCCGGGAACUGCUGUCUAUCCAAAAGUUGCAGCUCGCCUUUCAAGGAAGUGGUCGCGUGACAGAAGCAUUUUAUCACAAACGCCUGGAAGUGUGCUACAAGGCCGGCUCCGCGAGUCCUUGCUGUGAACAUCUGUGCAACAGAUUGCAUAUCUGCAGGCGAUUUUUGGCGGGGAACUGCACCAGAGUGAUGUGCACGUUUGGCCACGAUCUCCACACCACGCACAACAAUAAUGUGCUCAGCCGA